GAUGAUGAGUCCCCCAUAAAAACAUUCCUUGGAAAAGCUGAACAAAAUGAGUGAGAACUCAUACCGUCGUUCUCAUCGGAACUGAGGUCCAGCACGUUGCCUCCACUUGGGCUUACUGUGGUUCAUGCGUAACUUUGUCAUAUUACAUUAUACUUCACCACCCAGGCACUGGCAUUCAAUUUUUGUGGUCAUUUUGACCACAGCAAAAUUCUUUAUCAUAAAUAUAUUUGAGAGUCAUACUUGGGUAGGCCAUGAAUUUUCCUAGUGUUACUCUGUCACGUUGGUUUCACCUUUAAUGCUAGGUUUUGCAUUUUUGUUGCGUGAUUGAUUUUUAGCCAGGUUCUGGUCACCAGUCACAGCCUUUCACCAACAUUCGUGGUGAAAGUUUCCUUGGUUUUUGUUUUUUAUUUUGAGGAAGUACAUAUUUCAUGAAUGUUUCUGCUUUUGUUCCAAUUUUGGGCUGACUGGCAUAUCAUCUCUAUCUUAUCCUGAAUUGAGUAGUGGUACAAGUUUUUGGCUUUCCGCAUCCAGGGCACCAAGUCUUUUGUACACAGAUUGCAAGUAUUGAAGCCAUGGUGUUGAUUGGGAUGCUCUGUGUCCAUGCUUUUUAGUGGCAUAAUGCCCUCCCAGCGUACCCGGAAUCCACAUGUGCACCUUUAUAUGUGUGUUUCUGUGAACACAAAUAUGUGAAGCCAUAGACUAGCAGAUUUCAUAAGUACCACAGGAGUCUAGAUGACAUGGCCUUCCUGACCUGUGAACCUGUCUUUCUGAAGCACACUCAUUUCCUCUGCACCUUCCCAGUGUCAUUGCAUGGAAGGAAGACCCUUGUCCAAGAAGGAUGGUCUUUGUCUUGUGUGAUCUUUGAGAUGCCAUGAGGCCCCUGGAUACACAUGGUGUGGGCUCCUUUGGAGGCUUUUGGAUUUCUCAUGAAUGUGGCGUUGGUAUGGAAGGAAGGCCAGUGACCACAAGGGACGAUCUUGAUCUUGGGAGAUUUUUGGAGAUGGUGAAGUGCCUGUAAACAUGUGUGUCAUGGUUUCCUUCAGGCUGGUGGACACCUCAGGACAGUGGCCUGGCAUGGAAGGAGGGACUGUGUCUGCGAGGGAUGAUCAUCCUCCCAUGUGAUCCUUGGAGAUGCCAGGAAGCCUCUUGACACAUGUGGCAUGGGCUCCUUCAGAGGCUUUUGGGUCCUUCGUGAAUGUGGCAUGGGCAUGCAAAGAAAGACAGAGGCUGCAGGGAUGAACUUCAUCUUGGGGGAUCUCUGGAGUUGGUAGGGAACCCCUGGACACAUGUGGCAUGGGCUCCUUCUGGUGCUGGUGGAUCCCUUUAUAUGGUGGACGUGAUGAAUUGGCCAGGCCCAUGUUGGUGAGGGACAAUCAUCAUCUCAUGCUGUUCUCAGAGAUGCCGGGAAGCUCCUGGACACACAUGGUGUAGGCUUCUUUGGAGGCUGUUGGAUUCCUCCUGAGUGUGAUGUUGGUGUAGAAGGCAAACCCAUAUCAUGAGGGAUGAUCAUCAUCUUGUGUGGUCCUUGGAGAUGGCAGGAAGCUCUGGACAUACACGGUGUUCGCUCCUUCAGAGGCUGUUGGAGUCCUCCUGGAUGUGGUGUGGGCAUGGAAGGAAGGCCAGUGGAGACAAUGGAUGGUCUUGCCCUUAGAAGAUCACUGGAGGUGGCAGGGAGUCCUAGGACAUGUGUGGUGUGGACCUCUUCAGGUGGUGUUGGCAUGAAAGGAAAGGAGGUAUCUUUGAGGGACAAUCUUCGCCUUGUGUGAUCCUCGGAGAUGCCACGAGGACUCUGGACAUGUGGUGUGGGCUCCUUUGGAGGCUGUUGAAUCCCUUCUGAAUGUGGUGCGGGCAUAGAAGGAAGGCCAUGAGGGACAAUCUUGGUCUUGGGAGAUCCCUGGAAAUGAUAGGGAGCCCCUUGAUAUGUGUGGCAUGGGCUCCUUCAGGUGCUAGCGCUUUCCUCAGGAUGGUGGUGUUGGCGUAAAAGGCAGGCUUGUAUCAUGAGGAGUGAUUGUCAUCUCGUAUGAUCCUUGGAGAUGGCAGGAAGCCCCUGGACACACAUGUUGUGGACUCCUUCAGAGGCUGUUGAAACCUUCCUUAAUAUGAGGCCAGAGACAGGUGGACAGCAAAUGUAUCGCAGCGGGCUGGAUGACGUGGCCGUUGGAACCUGUGCACAUGCCUGCCUUUCUGAUACACGUCCGUGUUUUCUCUACAUCUCCCCAGUGGUGUUGGUGUAAAAAGCAGGCUCAUGUUAGCAAGGGAUGAUUGUCAUCUCGUGUGAUCCUGGGAGAUGGCGGAAGUCCGGGGACACGUGGAGUGUGGGCUCCUUUGGAGGCUGAUGGAACCCUCCUGAGUGAGUUGUGGCAAUGGAAGUAAGGCCAGUGGCUACGAGGGACAGUCUUCAUCUUGGGAGAUCCAUCGAGAUGGCAGGGAGCCCCUUGACAUGUGGAAUGUGGUCUCCCUCGGGUGCUGGUGGAUCCCACAGGUGGUCUGGCAUGGAAGAGGGCCACAGGCUACGAUGGAUGAUCUUUGUCUUGGGAGAUUCCUGGAGAUGGUGGGGAGCCCCUGGGCACGUGCGGCACAUGUGGCAUGGGCUUCUUCAGGAGCUGGUGGACCCCUCAGGAUGAUCUUCAAGGUUUUUCUCUGAGUUCUGUUAAAGAGUCGGAAAGGGGAGCCUAGAAGACGUGCUUCGGUUUCCAGGAUGGUUGUGUUUCCCAGAGAGGCGUAGGUAAACCAUGGGCGCAGCUCUGCCUCCCACAGAUAAUUCCGGUUCAUUGUGGAACCAGCACAGAUUUUCAUAGGAAAGUUAUUUUUUUUAACCUCAAAAAGUGACAGAAUGGAGUGUAUCAUGGAAAAGUCUGACAUAAAACCCUCAAAAUGUGAUAUUGAUUGGGCGAGAUAGAAUUCCAUGGAAUUUCAUUGCCAAACCAGUGAAGUGCUAAUUUUGACAUUUGUACCAGCUAAUGUAGCUGUGAAGAAGCACACCAAUACCACUUCUAAGAUUCAUAUACAUACGCUCUUCCGACAGCACAGCAUAGACCAAGAACUGGGUUUCAUAUGGAUGAAUUUAUUCUUCCUUUGAGGCAAGACAAGAAGGAAAGAAGGUAUUGGGACUACUGCUGCCUUCCCAUCCUCAAGGGCCAGUGGGAACUCUAAUAUUGAUUGGGUGAGAUACAAUUCCACGAAAUUUUACCACUGAACCAGUGAAGGGCUAAUUUUGUCAUUUGUACCAGUUAACUAAUUUGGGAGGAAACAGAACAACACACUCCUGAGAUUGGUUGUCACAGAAUUCCGUGGACUUUAACCAGUGAUGCGCUGAUUUUGUCAUUUGUACCAGCUAACUCAUCUGGGAGGCAACAAAACAAUAUUCUCCUGAGGUUAAUGUGGACGAAGAACUAGAUUUCAUGUAAAAAGAGUUUAUUCCUUCUAUUUGAGGUGUGACAUGAAGGAAAGUAAUGGAAAUAAUUCUGCCCUCCCAUUCUCAAGGGCCAGGGGGAAUUCUAAUAUUGAUCGGCAUGAACCAAGAACUGGGUUUCAUAUGAAAUAUUUUACUCUGUCCUCUUGAGAUGUGACAUGAAGAAAAGUAUUCAGAAUAUUUCUAUCACCUCAUCUUCAAGAAUCAGUAGGAAUUCUCCCAUGGUUCCGUGUGAUACUAGAGUUGCAUGGAUUUUUAAUCUUUACACCAAUGAAGAUCAGAGGCAAACAGUGCCCUUUAUUUAGAAGUUUGCAUGUGUCACUGAUAACUGUAAUAAUUGAUCUUGUUGAAAAGUCUGGGAAAUGAAGAUCUGAUAUGUCACUUUUACCAGCUUCCUCAACUGAGAAAGAAUACAGUGAAACAU
Molecule: RNA transcript, 3836 nt
Organism: Piliocolobus tephrosceles (Ugandan red Colobus)
Lineage: Eukaryota; Metazoa; Chordata; Mammalia; Primates; Cercopithecidae
Exons: 22
Source: RefSeq, a predicted model, not a curated record